AUUGAACGCUAGCGGGAUGCUUAACACAUGCAAGUCGAACGAGUGGCGGACGGGUGAGUAAUAUCUCGGAACGUGCCCAGUAGAGGGGGAUAACUACUCGAAAGAGUGGCUAAUACCGCAUACCAUCGGAGAGGCCGAUAUCGGAUUAGCUAGUAGGUGGGGUAAAGGCUCACCAAGGCAACGAUCCGUAGCUGGUUUGAGAGGACGACCAGCCACACUGUGACUGAGACACGGCCCAGACUCCUACGGGAGGCAGCAGUGGGGAAUUUUGGACAAUGGGGGAAACCCUGAUCCAGCCAUCCCGCGUGUAUGAGAAGGCCUUCGGGUUGUAAAGUACUUUUGGCAGGGAAGCGGUAUCUGCAGAAUAAGCACCGGCUAACUACGUGCCAGCAGCCGCGGUAAUAC
RNAcentral lists this ribosomal RNA (405 nucleotides) under uncultured bacterium. RNAcentral's name for it is "partial 16S ribosomal RNA". It matches the Rfam family "Bacterial small subunit ribosomal RNA", at positions 30 to 526 of the family's 1533-position model. The record is from RNAcentral.